UGGGGAAUAUUGGACAAUGGGCGAAAGCCUGAUCCAGCAAUGCCGCGUGAGUGAUGAAGGCCUUAGGGUUGUAAAGCUCUUUUACCAGGGAUGAUAAUGACAGUACCUGGAGAAUAAGCUCCGGCUAACUCCGUGCCAGCAGCCGCGGUAAUACGGAGGGAGCUAGCGUUGUUCGGAAAUACUGGGCGUAAAGCGAACGUAGGCGGUCUAUUAAGUCAGGGGUGAAAUCCCGGAGCUCAACUCCGGAACUGCCCUUGAAACUGCUAGACUAGAAUCCUGGAGAGGUCAGUGGAAUUCCGAGUGUAGAGGUGAAAUUCGUAGAUAUUCGGAAGAACACCAGUGGCGAAGGCGACUGACUGGACAGGUAUUGACGCUGAGGUUCGAAAGCGUGGGGAGCAAACAGG
RNAcentral lists this ribosomal RNA (404 nucleotides) under uncultured bacterium. RNAcentral describes it as "bacterial SSU rRNA". It matches the Rfam family "Bacterial small subunit ribosomal RNA", at positions 355 to 776 of the family's 1533-position model. The record is from RNAcentral.